UCCCUGGUGGUCCAGUGGUUGAGAAUCUGCCUUCCAAGCAGAGAAUGUGGGUUUGAUCCCUGGUCAGGGAA
Non-coding RNA from Bos taurus (domestic cattle), 71 nucleotides. The record is from Rfam. NCBI's taxonomy places the organism in Eukaryota, Metazoa, Chordata, Mammalia, Artiodactyla, Bovidae.